This 253-nucleotide ribosomal RNA is filed under the name uncultured bacterium. Its description in RNAcentral is "partial 16S ribosomal RNA". It matches the Rfam family "Bacterial small subunit ribosomal RNA", at positions 524 to 776 of the family's 1533-position model. The record is from RNAcentral.
UACGGAGGGUGCAAGCGUUAAUCGGAAUUACUGGGCGUAAAGCGCACGCAGGUGGCUGAGUCAGUCGAUUGUGAAAGCCCUGGGCUUAACCUGGGAAUUGCAGUCGAUACUACUCAGCUAGAGUAUGGGAGAGGGCAGUGGAAUUCCCGGUGUAGCGGUGAAAUGCGUAGAUAUCAGGAGGAACACCUGCGGUGUAGACGGCUUUCUGGACCAUUACUGACACUGAGACACGAAAGCGUGGGUAGCAAACAGG